RNAcentral lists this ribosomal RNA (214 nucleotides) under Escherichia coli. Its description in RNAcentral is "partial 16S ribosomal RNA". It matches the Rfam family "Bacterial small subunit ribosomal RNA", at positions 1 to 213 of the family's 1533-position model. Lineage: Bacteria; Pseudomonadati; Pseudomonadota; Gammaproteobacteria; Enterobacterales; Enterobacteriaceae. The record is from RNAcentral.
UUAAAUUGAAGAGUUUGAUCAUGGCUCAGAUUGAACGCUGGCGGCAGGCCUAACACAUGCAAGUCGAACGGUAACAGGAAGCAGCUUGCUGCUUUGCUGACGAGUGGCGGACGGGUGAGUAAUGUCWGGGAAACUGCCCGAUGGAGGGGGAUAACUACUGGAAACGGUAGCUAAAACCGCAUAACGUCGCAAGACCAAAGAGGGGGACCUUAGG